This 387-nucleotide ribosomal RNA is filed under the name uncultured bacterium. RNAcentral's name for it is "bacterial SSU rRNA". It matches the Rfam family "Bacterial small subunit ribosomal RNA", at positions 30 to 415 of the family's 1533-position model. The record is from RNAcentral.
AUUGAACGCUGGCGGCAUGCCUUACACAUGCAAGUCGAACGGCAGCACGGGGGCAACCCCUGGUGGCGAGUGGCGAACGGGUGAGUAACAUAUCGGAACAUACCCUAGAUGGGGGAUAACGUAGCGAAAGUUACGCUAAUACCGCAUACGAUCUAAGGAUGAAAGUGGGGGGAUCUUCGGACCUCAUGCUCAUGGAGUGGCCGAUAUCUGAUUAGCUAGUUGGUGAGGUAAAGGCUCACCAAGGCGACGAUCAGUAGCUGGUUUGAGAGAACGACCAGCCACACUGGAACUGAGACACGGUCCAGACUCCUACGGAGGCAGCAGUGGGGGAAUUUUGGGACAAUGGGGGGCAACCUGAUCCAGCAAUGCCGCGUGAGUGAAGAAGGC